This 447-nucleotide ribosomal RNA is filed under the name uncultured bacterium. RNAcentral describes it as "SSU rRNA". It matches the Rfam family "Bacterial small subunit ribosomal RNA", at positions 26 to 518 of the family's 1533-position model. The record is from RNAcentral.
AGAGCGAACGCUGGCGGCAGGCCUAACACAUGCAAGUCGAGCGCCCGUAGCAAUACGGGAGCGGCAGACGGGAUAGUAACACGUGGGAACGCGCCCUUCGGUUCGGAAUAACUCAGGGAAACUUGAGCUAAUACCGGAUACGCCCUUACGGGGAAAGAUUUAUUGCCGAAGGAACGGCCCGCGUCCGAUUAGCUUGUUGGUGAGGUAACGGCUCACCAAGGCAACGAUCGGUAGCUGGUCUGAGAGGAUGACCAGCAUCACUGGGACUGAGACACGGCCCAGACUCCUACGGGAGGCAGCAGUGGGGAAUAUGGACAAUGGGCGCAAGCCUGAUCCAGCCAUGCCGCGUGGAUGAUGAAGGCCUUAGGGUUGUAAAGUCCGUUUUAACGGGGAAGAUAAUGACGGUACCCGUAGAAUAGCCCGGCUAACUUCGUGCCAGCAGCCGAC